GAUGAACGCUAGCGGCAGGCUUAAUACAUGCGAGUCGAGGGGCAGCAUGAAGUAGCAAUACUUUGAUGGCGACCGGCAAACGGGUGCGGAACACGUACACAACCUUCCUUUAAGUGGGGAAUAGCCCAGAGAAAUUUGGUUUAAUACCCCGUAACACAACGAAGUGGCAUCACUUUGUUGUUAUAGUUUCGGCGCUUAAUGAUGGGUGUGCGUAUGAUUAGAUAGUUGGCGAGGUAACGGCUCACCAAGUCUACGAUCAUUAGCUGAUGUGAGAGCAUGAUCAGCCACACGGGCACUGAGACACGGGCCCGACUCCUACGGGAGGCAGCAGUAAGGAAUAUUGGGCAAUGGACGCAAGUCUGAACCAGCCAUGCCGCGUGAAGGAUUAAGGUCCUCUGGAUGGUAAACUUCUUUUAUAUGGGACGAAAAAAGGUCUUUCUAGACCCCUUGACGGUACCAUAUGAAUAAGCACCGGCUAACUCCGUG
This 486-nucleotide ribosomal RNA is filed under the name uncultured bacterium. Its description in RNAcentral is "partial 16S ribosomal RNA". It matches the Rfam family "Bacterial small subunit ribosomal RNA", at positions 28 to 507 of the family's 1533-position model. The record is from RNAcentral.